GGGUUGUGAGGUUAAGCGACUAAGCGUACACGGUGGAUGCCCUGGCAGUCAGAGGCGAUGAAGGACGUGCUAAUCUGCGAAAAGCGUCGGUAAGGUGAUAUGAACCGUUAUAGCCGGCGAUGUCCGAAUGGGGAAACCCAGUGCAAUUCGUUGCACUAUCGUUAACUGAAUACAUAGGUUAACGAGGCGAACCGGGGGAACUGAAACAUCUAAGUACCCCGAGGAAAAGAAAUCAACCGAGAUUCCCCCAGUAGCGGCGAGCGAACGGGGAGCAGCCCAGAGUCUGAAUCAGCUUGUGUGUUAGUGGAACGGUCUGGAAAGUCCGACGGUACAGGGUGAUAGUCCCGUACACCAAAAUGCACAGGUUGUGAACUCGAAGAGUAGGGCGGGACACGUGGUAUCCUGUCUGAAUAUGGGGGGACCAUCCUCCAAGGCUAAAUACUCCUGACUGACCGAUAGUGAACCAGUACCGUGAGGGAAAGGCGAAAAGAACCCCGGCGAGGGGAGUGAAAAAGAACCUGAAACCGUGUACGUACAAGCAGUGGGAGCACCUUCGGGUGUGACUGCGUACCUUUUGUAUAAUGGGUCAGCGACUUAUAUUCUGUAGCAAGGUUAACCGUAUAGGGGAGCCGCAGGGAAACCGAGUCUUAACUGGGCGUUAAGUUGCAGGGUAUAGACCCGAAACCCGGUGAUCUAGCCAUGGGCAGGUUGAAGGUUGGGUAACACUAACUGGAGGACCGAACCGACUAAUGUUGAAAAAUUAGCGGAUGACUUGUGGCUGGGGGUGAAAGGCCAAUCAAACCGGGAGAUAGCUGGUUCUCCCCGAAAGCUAUUUAGGUAGCGCCUCGUGAACUCAUCUUCGGGGGUAGAGCACUGUUUCGGCUAGGGGGUCAUCCCGACUUACCAACCCGAUGCAAACUACGAAUACCGAAGAAUGUUAUCACGGGAGACACACGGCGGGUGCUAACGUCCGUCGUGAAGAGGGAAACAACCCAGACCGCCAGCUAAGGUCCCAAAGUCAUGGUUAAGUGGGAAACGAUGUGGGAAGGCACAGACAGCCAGGAUGUUGGCUUAGAAGCAGCCAUCAUUUAAAGAAAGCGUAAUAGCUCACUGGUCGAGUCGGCCUGCGCGGAAGAUGUAACGGGGCUAAACCAUGCACCGAAGCUGCGGCAGCGACACUAUGUGUUGUUGGGUAGGGGAGCGUUCUGUAAGCCUGCGAAGGUGACCUGUGAGGGUUGCUGGAGGUAUCAGAAGUGCGAAUGCUGACAUAAGUAACGAUAAAGCGGGUGAAAAGCCCGCUCGCCGGAAGACCAAGGGUUCCUGUCCAACGUUAAUCGGGGCAGGGUGAGUCGACCCCUAAGGCGAGGCCGAAAGGCGUAGUCGAUGGGAAACAGGUUAAUAUUCCUGUACUUGGUGUUACUGCGAAGGGGGGACGGAGAAGGCUAUGUUAGCCGGGCGACGGUUGUCCCGGUUUAAGCAUGUAGGCUGGUUGUCCAGGCAAAUCCGGAUAAUCAAGGCUGAGGUGUGAUGACGAGGUACUACGGUGCUGAAGUAACAAAUGCCCUGCUUCCAGGAAAAGCCUCUAAGCAUCAGGUAACAUCAAAUCGUACCCCAAACCGACACAGGUGGUCAGGUAGAGAAUACCAAGGCGCUUGAGAGAACUCGGGUGAAGGAACUAGGCAAAAUGGUGCCGUAACUUCGGGAGAAGGCACGCUGGUGUGUAGGUGAAGUCCCUGCGGAUGGAGCUGAGACCAGUCGAAGAUACCAGCUGGCUGCAACUGUUUAUUAAAAACACAGCACUGUGCAAACACGAAAGUGGACGUAUACGGUGUGACGCCUGCCCGGUGCCGGAAGGUUAAUUGAUGGGGUUAUCCGUAAGGAGAAGCUCUUGAUCGAAGCCCCGGUAAACGGCGGCCGUAACUAUAACGGUCCUAAGGUAGCGAAAUUCCUUGUCGGGUAAGUUCCGACCUGCACGAAUGGCGUAAUGAUGGCCAGGCUGUCUCCACCCGAGACUCAGUGAAAUUGAACUCGCUGUGAAGAUGCAGUGUACCCGCGGCAAGACGGAAAGACCCCGUGAACCUUUACUAUAGCUUGACACUGAACAUUGAGCCUUGAUGUGUAGGAUAGGUGGGAGGCUUUGAAGCGUGGACGCCAGUCUGCGUGGAGCCAACCUUGAAAUACCACCCUUUAAUGUUUGAUGUUCUAACGUUGGCCCCUGACCGGGGUUGCGGACAGUGUCUGGUGGGUAGUUUGACUGGGGCGGUCUCCUCCCAAAGCGUAACGGAGGAGCACGAAGGUUAGCUAAUCCUGGUCGGACAUCAGGAGGUUAGUGCAAUGGCAUAAGCUAGCUUGACUGCGAGCGUGACGGCGCGAGCAGGUGCGAAAGCAGGUCAUAGUGAUCCGGUGGUUCUGAAUGGAAGGGCCAUCGCUCAACGGAUAAAAGGUACUCCGGGGAUAACAGGCUGAUACCGCCCAAGAGUUCAUAUCGACGGCGGUGUUUGGCACCUCGAUGUCGGCUCAUCACAUCCUGGGGCUGAAGUAGGUCCCAAGGGUAUGGCUGUUCGCCAUUUAAAGUGGUACGCGAGCUGGGUUUAGAACGUCGUGAGACAGUUCGGUCCCUAUCUGCCGUGGGCGCUGGAGAAUUGAGGGGGGCUGCUCCUAGUACGAGAGGACCGGAGUGGACGCAUCACUGGUGUUCGGGUUGUCAUGCCAAUGGCACUGCCCGGUAGCUAAAUGCGGAAGAGAUAAGUGCUGAAAGCAUCUAAGCACGAAACUUGCCCCGAGAUGAGUUCUCCCUGAGACUUUAAGUCUCCUGAAGGAACGUUGAAGACGACGACGUUGAUAGGCCGGGUGUGUAAGCGCAGCGAUGCGUUGAGCUAACCGGUACUAAUGAACCGUGAGGCUUAACCUUACAACGCCGAAG
RNAcentral lists this ribosomal RNA (2923 nucleotides) under Klebsiella pneumoniae. RNAcentral's name for it is "bacterial LSU rRNA". It matches the Rfam family "Bacterial large subunit ribosomal RNA". Lineage: Bacteria; Pseudomonadati; Pseudomonadota; Gammaproteobacteria; Enterobacterales; Enterobacteriaceae. The record is from RNAcentral. RNAcentral also lists the same sequence under 1 other name.